Molecule: transfer RNA, 68 nt
Filed under: Monomia gladiator
Lineage: Eukaryota; Metazoa; Arthropoda; Malacostraca; Decapoda; Portunidae
Description: tRNA-Glu
Source: RNAcentral
GUUUUUAUAGUGUAAUGAACACGUUACAUUUUCGUUGUAAAACUGAAAUACCUCUUUUUCUAAAAACU